AUGCAGUAUUGCACACGUCUGAAGACAUUCGCCGACCAGCUUCGCGAUCUCGGCCAGCCCGUCUCCGAGACCCAGCAGCUCUUCAACAUGAUCCGUGGGCUUGGGUGCCAGUACCACGGCGCCAUACCUCACCUUACCUCGCGCGUGCCCCUGCCCAGUUUUCUGCAGGCCCGCUCGUUCUUGCUGCUGGAGGAACACCGUGCCAAGCAGACGACGCGCAUUCAGCACGCCCAUGCCAUGGUGGCCGGGCACAUCACGUCGUCCACGCCCCCGUCCGCCCCCAACGCUGCCCCGCCGGCCGACUCCAGCGCUGGCCGUGGGCGUGGCCGCGGCAAGCGUCGUGGCCGUGGCAGUCCGGGGGCGUCUUCCUCGACCACUCCACCGCCAAUCCGCCCGCCUGCUCUUCCGGGACAGGCCCCCAGCGCCAACUCCUGGACUGGCCUGGUGCAAGCCUGGCCCAUGCCCUGGCGCAUGCCCGGCGACGGCAUUCUUGGACCCCGCCCCGGCAUCCCUCCGCAGCAGGCCUUCUUCGCCGGGCCGGCUGCGCCAUCGAACCCGCCCGGCUACGGUGCCUACGGCGCCCCUCCCGGCUACGGCUACGGCUCCCCCGGCGCCAGCUCCAGCACCGCGCCACCGCCGGCGCAGCCCCAGCCCUGGGACAUGGGGCCACUGCACACGGCCCUGCAGGCCGCAUCCACCUCAGCUCCGUCUGCGGGAAGCACCUCCGACUGGUACCUCGACUCUGGCGCGACGGCGCACAUGACCGCCAAUCCUGGUACCCUCCACUCCCUUUCUCCUAAUUCCUCUCCCAAUCAGAUCGUGGUCGGCAAUGGCGGUCGUCUCCCGAUCACGCACACCGGCCACGGCUCUCUGAUCACCACCAAUUCUCCACUCGUUCUUCGCAAUGUUUUGCUUUCUCCCUCUCUUAUCACCAAUCUGCUGUCUGUUCGGCAACUUACGCGUGAGAAUCCUGUCUCUGUCGAGUUUGAUGAAUUUGGCUUCUCUGUCAAGGACAUCCGCACCUGCCAGGUGAUCCGGCGAUGUGAUUCCACUGGAGACUUGUACCCCGUCACGCCCUGCGGUGCGCCGUCCUCCUCACCUCCGUUCGCCGGUGUCGCUUCCGUGGAGUUGUGGCAUCAGCGGCUCGGCCAUCCUGGAGACGACGCACUUCGACGGGUGCUACACCAGUUCCCCUUCACCUGCGCGCCCUCGGCUCCGCCACCUGCCACGCCUGCAGACUAG
Molecule: ribosomal RNA, 1242 nt
Filed under: Triticum aestivum (bread wheat)
Lineage: Eukaryota; Viridiplantae; Streptophyta; Magnoliopsida; Poales; Poaceae
Description: partial small subunit ribosomal RNA
Source: RNAcentral